Molecule: ribosomal RNA, 535 nt
Filed under: uncultured fungus
Lineage: Eukaryota; Fungi
Description: eukaryotic LSU rRNA
Rfam family: Eukaryotic large subunit ribosomal RNA
Source: RNAcentral
AAAAGAAACCAACAGGGAUUGCCUCAGUAACGGCGAGUGANGCGGCACCAGCUCAAAUUUGAAAUCUGGCUCUUGGGCCCGAGUUGUAAUUUGUAGAGGAUGUUUUGGGUACCGUUGCAGUUUAAUUUUCUUGGAACAGAAUGUCAGAGAGGGUGAGAGUCCCGUCUGGAACUGCGGUAGGGCCUAUGUAAAACUCCUUCGACGAGUCGAGUUGUUUGGGAAUGCAGCUCAAAAUGGGUGGUAAAUUUCAUCUAAAGCUAAAUAUUGGCCAGAGACCGAUAGCGCACAAGUAGAGUGAUCGAAAGAUGAAAAGCACUUUGAAAAGAGAGUUAAACAGUAUGUGAAAUUGUUGAAAGGGAAGCGCUUGUAACCAGACUUGUGUAUCGCGGUUCCCCCUUGCUUUUGCUUGGGCUAUUCCGUUUUAUCCAGGCCAACAUCGGUUUCAGGAGUUGGUUAAAGACCUUAGGAAUGUACUUACUCUCGGGUAAACUUAUAGCCUAGGGUGUCAUGCAACUUCCCGGGACCGAGGUACGCG